UUUCAUAGAUUUUUUCACUAACUAAGCAAAAAAUUGAAUUAGGGAGUUACCCCUUUGUGGAUCAGUAAUCUCCCUCUUAGUUUAAGGCUGAGAAAAAUGAAAGUUGUCACUUUUUGGAUGAAAGAGCUUUUAUUUUAGAAAACAACUACCUGGUAUGCUUUACCUACAUUUCGUUACAGGCUUGAUGUAACUGAUUUUGGAGAUAUCCAGUAGUAAAUGAGGGAUUCUGCCUUUACAAUACUAUAAGCAGUUGAACUACGCACAUUAAAUGGAAAUGAUGGAGAGAAUGAAGUACAGAAUUAUUGCAGCAAAAUGGAAGAACUGGGAACAAUACCCUGUAUCCCCUGACAUCCCAUCCUAUUCAUAAGUAAAGAAGCCAGUGCUUCUUUGAGGAUUUUCUGGGAAAAGGAAGUAAAGUGAAAUUUAGAGCAUUGCGUAAGGAUACAGACUACGGAGGAUCGGUUCCAAAAAGUGCACGAUUAGCUAUCAGUAUGUAGGGCAUAUGUUUAACUGUAGGUAGCUUUUUCAGCUUCAUACUGCUACUAGUUUACCUUUAUUACU
This 561-nucleotide long non-coding RNA is filed under the name Dromaius novaehollandiae (emu). RNAcentral's name for it is "lncRNA (ENSDNVG00000014843.1)". The record is from RNAcentral. Lineage: Eukaryota; Metazoa; Chordata; Aves; Casuariiformes; Dromaiidae.